This 1323-nucleotide long non-coding RNA is filed under the name Sinocyclocheilus anshuiensis. Its description in RNAcentral is "lncRNA (ENSSANG00000039826.1)". The record is from RNAcentral. Lineage: Eukaryota; Metazoa; Chordata; Actinopteri; Cypriniformes; Cyprinidae.
AUGUCAACUAGAGGCCUCUAUCUGAAGCCGCUGAGCCCACAGAUUAAAUCUAGUGAUCUUCUAUCAAACCAGAAUCAGUCUUCCACUGGUAUUCCAGCAGAGAAGAAUCUACAAACUGGUGCAUCAACUAAACAUGACUCCUUUAACUCCCUUGAGUCCCGCUCCCCAUACCGUCCCUCAACAAGCUGGCUGGCUGACUUUGGUAAUGUAUACUACUACAGUAAGUUACCUGUUGUACGGCAACAUCCUGACCUUCCAGAGAAGCAGCAACCAAAGAUGUCCCUUGCCAUUAGUCUUGAACCACCUCCUCUCAGAAAUGGGAAAAACACAAAGAACCAAAGACCAGCAAUUGGCAUCUCAGAUCAGAAGCACUGUUCACUUCAUACUUGCAAGUGCAAAGCAAAAAGCAGUUUGAGGUUAGCUGGAUCUUCCGUGAAGUGUGAUUGGGUUUCUCAUUCCACACUGCAGAAUAAACUUCGCUUCUGCACAUCAUGUAGAUAUGAUGUGAAAGGAAAGGAUCAUAGGAAGCCGCCUUUUUCAGACGGUUUUAGGUGCAAAAGAGAAGAGACUACUGAAUUGAAUAACUUUUACAUGAAGAGUGCUACUGAGGGCUUCCAUGGUACCCCAAAGAUGACUUCAGGAAGUCAUUUGGCAAAAUGCUGUGCUGCUUCUCUGGGUAAACCGAGUGAAAAGACUGGACUGUGUGAAGAUUGCCAAUGCCUUAAUCCCAGCCCUGCUCAAGAUAAAUGUGGUGACCUUGGAUGGCGAAUUUGGGAAAAGAGUGAGGAAGACUGGAUUAACAACCCAAAUCAGAGAAUGUUACAGAGACUGCAGAAAGACAAUGCAUGGAAAGCAAGUAUGCAGGUGUCUAAAACUGAAAGAAGGAUUCAGAAAAAAGAAAGGAAAGAGUACUCCCAAGAGAUCACACAAGAGGAAGACACAAUGUUUAUUGCUACCGGUGGUCAGUGUGCACACCCCAUGGAGAGCUAGAAGGUGCAUUAACAUCACAAACGUUCAAACCUUCCUACAAUAAAAUACCCACCUGUAUGGUUUUUAAGCAGUGAUUUAAUAAAGUACUUAUGAGUGUGAACAUGCUGUUUGCUUUCACCGAAGCCUCCGAAGGUCCAUUUGAAGUUCUCAAUUAUAUUUUUAAUAAAUACUGCUGAAAACUAUAUGCAUUUAAGACAGUGUGAUGCAAACUUCUUGAGCACAUUAGAUGCGUCUAAUGAUAAGAGUGUUGUAUCUUCUGCUUUAAUGAGAUCGAAAUGAGAUGUAAAUUUUAGAUUUCUAAACAUUUAUUUUUCAAAUUGCACAACAAAAGGC